RNAcentral lists this ribosomal RNA (412 nucleotides) under uncultured bacterium. Its description in RNAcentral is "bacterial SSU rRNA". It matches the Rfam family "Bacterial small subunit ribosomal RNA", at positions 19 to 416 of the family's 1533-position model. The record is from RNAcentral.
CUGGCUCAGAGCGAACGUUAGCGGCGCGCCUAACACAUGCAAGUCGCACGAGAAAGGGGGCAACCCCCCGGUACAGUGGCGCACGGGUGAGUAACACGUGGGUGAUCUGCCCAGAAGAAGGGGAUAACCUCUCGAAAGGGGGGCUAAUACCGCAUAGGACCACCGGGGCUUUGGCUCUGUGGUGAAAAGGGGGCCUCUGUUUACAAGCUCCUGCUUCUGGAUGAGCCCGCGUCCCAUCAGCUAGUUGGUAGGGUAAUGGCCUACCAAGGCUACGACGGGUAGCUGGUCUAAGAGGAUGGCCAGCCACACUGGAACUGAGACACGGUCCAGACUCCUACGGGAGGCAGCAGUGGGGAAUCUUGCGCAAUGGGCGAAAGCCUGACGCAGCGACGCCGCGUGGGUGACGAAGGCC